Non-coding RNA from Pogona vitticeps (central bearded dragon), 1760 nucleotides. Lineage: Eukaryota; Metazoa; Chordata; Lepidosauria; Squamata; Agamidae. The record is from RefSeq and is a predicted model, not a curated record.
AUGCUUAUGCGUUCAUUCUUGCUUGUUCAAUAUGAUGUAAACUGUUCAAUACUCUUUCCUAACCCCUCUAAUCUACUCCUAAACCCUAAAACUCUCUCAAUAACUUCUUGUCCCUGACUCUCUCUAUCCCUAUCUCUGAUUCCAAUUCCUUUUAACUGUCUCCUCCAGCUGUCCAACUGUCAUUCUGACUCCGCCCCUCCUGCUCUAUCCUCUGAUUGACAGGCAGGGAUGACAUCAUCUUUGAGAUUCCGUUACAGUAUACAACAAGUAAGCUGGGUUGGGUUGGCUCCCUCACUGCUGAUUUUCACACAGAGGUUGAACAGUCAUCUGUUGAAGAUACUGUACUCCAGCUGCGGGAACAGAUAGCCAAGAAGCCCUCUUCUAACUCUAUGAAAUCUUAUCUUCAGUACAACUUUCAUAUGUAGCUAUAGUCAUGCCUUAUAUACUUCUUUUAGGGAGAUAGUCUGUGGUUUAUAAAGCAAUUGAAGUCCUUUUUCACAUAUUCUGUAAGUCACUCUUGCACACAACUGUUUUUGUCAGAUCAUUGCUGCAGACAAUUGCAGGAAGGACAACAGCUUUAUUGGCAUCAACUUUAUUGGGAACACUAAAUAUGCACAUCUUGGAACUCUUUAUUAGUAUGGAUUAUUUUAAAAAUCUUCCUCCUAAAGCAUAGAGGCUCUGGCAAUAGGGGAAGUAUUAGCAGAAGCUUCAUGCACCUUUCUGAGAGCGAGAUGAGAAGGUGGCUCAACAACCACAAGGACUUUCAAAUCUUCCACAGUCAUAGUUGAAAGCAAAUAAGAGCUUCUAGGCAAUGGCAGGACAGGUUACUUAUUUUGACCGAUCUUCUGUUAAUCAAUAUUAAGGUUCCCAUACAGUGAUAUCCAUUUCAGACAAGCUCAACAUCCAUCAGUGCUGAUAGUAUUUUGGGGAGGCACUCUGUGAAUAUAUCUGUGUAUAUCAAUAUACUGAAUUUAGUAUUUUUCUCCAACAUAGAGAAGUGAGGGCUGUUCUGGAGUUGGAGGGUGAAUCACCACAGACGAGCUUUUGUGUAGAUGGCUUUUGAGCUCGGUCUAAGACGGUUUGAAAGGUGGGAGUAUCCUCCAAGCUAUCAGAUUAAGAGACUGGAUGCCGGGAUGAAGGAUCGCUCCAUUGCUCUGUGACAGGAGGUUGGGUAUCAAUGGUAGAUGGAAUACGUCCGUCAACAGCAAUCUCAGGCCGCGUAUUUUGAGUCCUUGACAUUGGGCUUCCCAUCCCAAAGGGCUGGCAUUGGUGGUUAACUGUAUAGAUAACUGUAGAGGUUUGAAGGGUCUGGCUACUGCUAGAUGCAGAAGGAAUGUCCACCAGCAGGUUCCUCAAAAUGGGUUCGAGCUUUGGAGAUGGAUGUCAAGCUCGACUUUGAGGAAACCUUAGAGGUUUCUUUCUGCCUUGUUGGAAUUGGCGUCGGACUCGAUAUCGAGCAAGCUGUUGGGCUCCACAUGGAACUAGCUGUUUCAGGAUGGGUUGAAUCUUUGGACGCUGGAGAUGUUAGUGUUUCCAUAGUCGGGUGAAGAGAUUUCUCCCACAAGUAAGAUCUUAAAUGCUAUAGUCUUAAUUUUAUUGCUGGUUUUGUAUUUUUUUGCAUUCAGGGCACGCUUGGGUCUGGUGUUCUUCUCCAAGGCAAAACAAGCAUUUAUCGUGCCCGUCCAUUAGCGGUAUUUUCUUAGAACAAAGAACGCACCACUUAAACGGUCCCUGAGGGGCCAUAAAAAUAGGAAAGGGAA